AAGGGAAGAGGGCACAAUGGUGCUCUUGGUGUGGCAGGCGGAAACAACAGCUGACAUUUGCGACAUGCCGCA
This is a non-coding RNA of Pangasianodon gigas (Mekong giant catfish), 72 nucleotides long. Lineage: Eukaryota; Metazoa; Chordata; Actinopteri; Siluriformes; Pangasiidae. The record is from the annotation of a GenBank genome assembly.